This 306-nucleotide unclassified non-coding RNA is filed under the name plant metagenome. Its description in RNAcentral is "partial contains 5.8S ribosomal RNA, internal transcribed spacer 2, and large subunit ribosomal RNA". The stretch from base 1 to 105 matches the Rfam family "5.8S ribosomal RNA", at positions 50 to 154 of the family's 154-position model. The record is from RNAcentral.
GAAAUGCGAUAAGUAGUGUGAAUUGCAGAAUUCAGUGAAUCAUCGAAUCUUUGAACGCACAUUGCGCCCCUUGGUAUUCCAUGGGGCAUGUCUGUUCGAGCAUCAUCUACACCCUCAAGCUCUGCUUGGUGUUGGGCGUCUUUGUCCCGCCUCCGCGCGCGGACUCGCCCCAAAUUCAUUGGCAGCGGUCCUUGCCUCCUCUCGCGCAGCACAUUGCGCUUCUCGAGGUGUUGCGGCCCGCGUCCAGAAAGCAAUCGUUACCGUCUUUGACCUCGGAUCAGGUAGGGAUACCCGCUGAACUUAAGC